AUGGGUGAGAAGUCUUAGACAACAAGUCUGUGUCUGUGAGGCGUCAGGUAUCUGUGAAGGGGUGUGUACUGCAGUGAAAGUUGCUUUAAUCAUCCAGCACCAGAGGUUCCUUGUGUUUGGCUCACAUACAGUACGUCCAAGGAAUGGAGACAGACUGAGGAAAUCUCCAGACCAAGAUCAGGUCCAUGAGCAGCCUCCUAACAAG
This is a long non-coding RNA of Cheilinus undulatus (humphead wrasse), 205 nucleotides long. RefSeq lists it as uncharacterized. The transcript has 3 exons. The record is from RefSeq and is a predicted model, not a curated record. NCBI's taxonomy places the organism in Eukaryota, Metazoa, Chordata, Actinopteri, Labriformes, Labridae.